This 557-nucleotide long non-coding RNA is filed under the name Homo sapiens (human). RNAcentral describes it as "long intergenic non-protein coding RNA 1213". Lineage: Eukaryota; Metazoa; Chordata; Mammalia; Primates; Hominidae. The record is from RNAcentral.
UGUUCGUCUUCUCUGGAAGAGACAGCAUUUAAGGCACCAUCUUCGAAGUAAAGACUGGGCCCUCACCAGACACUGAACCUGCUGGCAUUUGGAUUUUGAACUUCCCAGCCUCCAUAACUGUCUAACCAUAAAAUCAUCAAUACUGAGAAAUUAAAAGGGGAACAUGUCAGGCCUCACUCUUUCUGUAUUGGAUUUCAAGAGUAUUGUCCUUGGUGAGGAAGACAAAGUGAGUGGGCUCAGUAACUCGCCCGAGUCACAGAGUCAAAGCAGGAGCUGGACCCAGAUAGUCCAGAGCUCAUGCUCGUACACACUUCACUUCGCUAUCCUGAAUAAAAAAACCAAGACUCCAGGAGGGCUGCAGCUUCGUCCAAGGUGUCGUGACUUGCCCACAGCCACCCUCUUGGCAAAUGACCCAGUAAACUCCACCUCCAGCUCCUCUACCUCCAGAGCCUGUGUCUGUAUGUCUUCCUUUUGGAGCUUUCUUUCUUGGUAUUCUUUAUGUUUCAAUUUUUAAAAUGAUAGUCAAAUAUACACAACUUGAAUUUUGGCCAUUUUAA